Corapipo altera (White-ruffed manakin) is the source of this 490-nucleotide long non-coding RNA. RefSeq lists it as uncharacterized. NCBI's taxonomy places the organism in Eukaryota, Metazoa, Chordata, Aves, Passeriformes, Pipridae. The record is from RefSeq and is a predicted model, not a curated record. The transcript is spliced from 3 exons.
UUUAGUGAUCAAGACCUCCUAGCCUGUUGUUUGUGAUACGUGCCCUUGAGAGACUAAUGAAGUUUGUGCUUUUCCUGUAGGUGCUUCCUUUUGACUUACUCAUCCGACUUGGUACAUGGACUACAAAGUGACACAUGGUGUGCUAGGCUUCACUGCAGUGUUGUGCCUACAAACCUCAACAAAAAUCAAAACUUCAUUUUACUACCUGCUGCAUGAAACUAUUGGGGAGAGUCUCUGACCUGAAGCCCCCAGUAUAAUUGGACAAGGCAGAAGAGAAACAACAGGAUCUGUACAAGUUCAGAAGGACCGAACUGAAAGAGGACAAGAGCCUUCGGUAUUACACGCACACCUAGUCUUGGGAAAAUCUGUCUCCUUGACCUUUGUGAUGGCUUCAUGGUAAGGCUUUUCAAGCAGCCCUAGUAUCUAUUCACACUCUAGCCACUUCUACGUAUAGCAGGCCUAAAAUAAAAUAAUAAUUAAGAAUUUAAAA